RNAcentral lists this small RNA (62 nucleotides) under Xanthomonas dyei pv. eucalypti. Its description in RNAcentral is "sX9 sRNA". It matches the Rfam family "Xanthomonas sRNA sX9". RNAcentral also lists the same sequence under 2 other names. The record is from RNAcentral. Lineage: Bacteria; Pseudomonadati; Pseudomonadota; Gammaproteobacteria; Lysobacterales; Lysobacteraceae.
AUGUACCACGCGUACACUCCGGUUCCUCCGCGCCGUCCACACCUACCGGUCGGAUGACUGUC